GAUGAACGCUAGCGGCAGGCUUAACACAUGCAAGUCGAGGGGCAGCGCGGGAUAGCAAUAUCCUGGCGGCGACCGGCGGAAGGGUGCGUAACGCGUGAGCGACAUGCCCGUUGCCCGGGGACAACCGGUGGAAACGCCGACUAAUCCCCGAUGGGAUAUUGUGCCGCAUGGCACGAUAUUGAAAGUUACGGCGGCGACGGAUUGGCUCGCGUCCGAUUAGCUUGUUGGCGGGGUAACGGCCCACCAAGGCUGCGAUCGGUAGGGGUUCUGAGAGGAAGGCCCCCCACAAUGGGACGGAGACACGGCCCAUACUCCUACGGGAGGCAGCAGUGAGGAAUAUUGGUCAAUGGGCGGAAGCCUGAACCAGCCAUGCCGCGUGCGGGAAGGAGGCCCUAUGGGCUGUGAACCGCUUUUGCCUGGGGGAAAUAAGGGCGUCGCGCACGUCCGAUGAGAGUACCAGGCGAAUAAGCAUCGGCUAACUCCGUG
RNAcentral lists this ribosomal RNA (486 nucleotides) under uncultured bacterium. Its description in RNAcentral is "partial 16S ribosomal RNA". It matches the Rfam family "Bacterial small subunit ribosomal RNA", at positions 28 to 507 of the family's 1533-position model. The record is from RNAcentral.